Molecule: ribosomal RNA, 321 nt
Filed under: Triticum aestivum (bread wheat)
Lineage: Eukaryota; Viridiplantae; Streptophyta; Magnoliopsida; Poales; Poaceae
Description: partial small subunit ribosomal RNA
Source: RNAcentral
AUGCAUCGCGUUAUUGAAAUCGCCAUUACCUCAAUUAUAGAUAGUCUGGAGUUGGUAAGUACUCUGAUCUUGCUGGCUAGCCUCUUAACCUCCACACUGUCUUCUUCCUCGAGGCUUCGGGGACGCCAGCUGGAGCGCUUCUUUAAAGGAGCACUAGAGAAUUCGGGAAGACCGCGCCGGAUUGUGUCCAUUCCAAGGGCCAUUCUUCGAAGUGCCGGACAGGUACCCUGUCCCGGCUAUGCGCCACACUUCGGCGCCGCCCACCUCGAAAAUAGAUCCCUUUUGGGAGCGGGGGACGAGGCAGAAGAAUUUCCGCCAUAG